This 154-nucleotide long non-coding RNA is filed under the name Mustela putorius furo (domestic ferret). RNAcentral's name for it is "lncRNA (ENSMPUG00000024153.1)". Lineage: Eukaryota; Metazoa; Chordata; Mammalia; Carnivora; Mustelidae. The record is from RNAcentral.
UCCUACUUCUUUAACUAAAGCCUUGAGUCUCCUGGAGCCAAAUUAAUACUUGAGAGGUGUACCAGUGGGUUGUAUGGUGGCAUGUAUAUCUUAGAAUUAGGAGGACACACAGGAAGACGGCAUUUCCAGAGCCUCUCUUGUAGUUAGGUUGCAG